This is a long non-coding RNA of Pleuronectes platessa (European plaice), 1390 nucleotides long. RefSeq lists it as uncharacterized. NCBI's taxonomy places the organism in Eukaryota, Metazoa, Chordata, Actinopteri, Pleuronectiformes, Pleuronectidae. The record is from RefSeq and is a predicted model, not a curated record. The transcript is spliced from 3 exons.
CCAGUAGAACCGGUUUGUCCAGGUUCUCCUGGUCUCACAUACUGAGCACUGCAUUGCCAUGGGAACCAGGUGAGGUGAAAGAGCGAAAAGAGAUGCUGCCAAAAAAGAUGGGGCGCCGUUUUUCUGUGUCUAUGAAAUUAAAGGAAAAGGAAAAAGGAAAAAAGAAGAGUGGGAGGGAAUCCAGUGGGUGUGGACUGACUGUAACAGAAAACUAUCCACCACAUCCUUCCAGGCACCCGAGAGACCAGCAGGAAGUGGAGGACCGCGAGGAGACUUUGUCCCCUGUCGCCGGCUGGUAUGGGAAACAGAGGAUGAUCAAUAAUUAAUCUGACAACAGCAAUCACACCCUGGGACGCACUUUCCUCUCAUGUUAACAUCACUUCCAAAACAAAUUACCACCCAUGAAUAAUGCCAAGUGUUACUAGUGUAGUGUUUAAAACACAAUUUCUCAAACAAGACUUUGCAGCAUAUUUGUUUGGAAAAUGGAAUAAAAAUGUUAAGCACGAUGUAAAAUUUGAAAAUGACUUAAAAACGGGGAAUAAUAAGAUCUCCAAACUGAACUACCCAACAUCCUAUACUUUUCUUCUCAGUAAAUGUUGUUUAAGGAUUUUUCCAUUCGAAGUAUUUGACUAUUGCAAAUGUUGUAUUUUUUUUAGAUCCAGAGGGACUGAAUGAGGAUGUUAGUCACUUCUGUGGGUGGAGUCUUGUGGCAGGAGUUUCAGCUCACAGCCCCCAGAGACGUGGGCAGGCAGGUCAGGCUGUAAUGUCAUGAGUCAUGUCUGAAGUUUUUUCCUCAUCAUACCAAACAUACCAACAAUGCAAUCUGAAGCGCUACAUUCGUCCCGUUACAUGUAUGUGUCUAUGGCAUUUGAGCGUCAGGAUGUCAAACUCGAAAACUGCCAAAACCUUUUUCAACUUUCCGUAAAUCGAAUUGUUUAGGAGUUGUAGAGAAGAGAUCACUGCUUUCAGCACAAGGCACAGAAAAUAUGACUGCAGUCCUAUGAAGUAUUUUAUUUUACCCCAGGCUUGCAACUACACCACACGUCCACAAGAUGUCACUUGGCUCAACAAGAUCGCAUGUCGGCCCAUUUACUUGACAUGAAUUUACUCACAGUGACAGAGUUGUGGUUUCAACAUCGAUGAAGAUGCUAACAGUCAUCAUCAUCAUCAUCAUCAUCCACCUGCUCUGCCUCAUUCUCGUAGAAGUAUUCACUCUGCUGGAGGAGAGUAAACACGUACAAGUAUUCUAUUCUAUUUUUUUCUUUUUUUUUUAUCUGCUUGUAAUAUUUUGAGCAUUGCCAUAAGAGAGCCUGUGACCCAAGCAUUUCAUUGCAAGCGACUGCUUAAUGUAAUCGUUGUGCAUAUGACAAUAAACUCUUGAAACUUGAAA